RNA transcript from Nycticebus coucang (slow loris), 7533 nucleotides. It is a transcript of the gene named zinc finger CCHC-type containing 2, with no coding region annotated. The transcript has 15 exons. Lineage: Eukaryota; Metazoa; Chordata; Mammalia; Primates; Lorisidae. The record is from RefSeq and is a predicted model, not a curated record.
CAAAACGUUAUUUAGCAAACACGAUUUCCAAAAGAUGGAGGCUUUGGUGGGGGCCGUGGGGGGGCGGGCGGGGGCUUUUCCUAAACUGUCGGCUUAAUAAACGAGCGUUACAGACCACAAGCAACCGUUAGGCCGGGUGUCCUCUGGGCCCAGGUGGCCUCUGCGCACCUGUGGGCCGCGCGUCUCCACCUGCACACGGUGCGCCAGCUUCGGCUUGGGCGUUCGCGCCGGACCCGGACGCCCGGGACCCCCAGCCACCGCCAGAACCCUGCGUCUCGCCUCCUUCAUCUGCCAGUCAACACAGCCGCUCCUCGUGGUUUCACAACGUGGGAUCUAUCCCAUUGCCGACUUUCAGACAGUCCAGCAGGCGUUGGAGGAUGAGGACGAGCUCAUCUCUGGGUUCGCGCGCUCACUUCGGAGAAGUCCCCACUCCCGGGGUGUUCAGUGCGUUCAGUCCCGGCAGCCCGGGUGGCGCUGACGGAGGUGGGGCCGCAGCCAGCGCGAGAUGGCGAAGCAGAGGGACCAGGGCCCCUGGAAAAGGUGAAAUUGCCUCUGCCCUCCUUAUACUUGAGCCUCGCACGCUCUUCACCGCGCUCUAGCACACCUACCCGCGGACCCACUGUCCCAGCCCUCAUCCUCCCCCACCCUGGACACUAUGGGCUUCAGGGCCGCGCGGAAGCCGCGGAGAGGAAGACCGCCGGACAGCAGUUGGGCGUGGCUUCUCGUAGAAAGGCAGCCCCUGGGGGCGGGGAGAGCUACGUAACCGUCGACUGGGAUCGCUGAUUGGCUGAAGUGCGGGGCGCGGAGGCCGCAAGCGUCUCCGCCCGGGCCGGGCGCUCCCUCUGCUCACUCGGCCGCUCGUCCUCACCGGCUCGCGAGGGAACCGCUCAGGCACUGCCGCCUCAGCUCAGUGCGGACGACGGAGAGAGGGAGGCGGUAGGAGGACACCCUUGCUUGCUCCCACCCGCACCCGGCCUCCCAGAGACGGCGCGGAGCCGAGGGGGAGGAGCUACCGCGGGCACGCCCCGCCUCCGGCCCGGGAAGACUACGCCGGCGACCCAGCCGGCCGGCCGCCGCCCCCCUCGCCGGCCGAGACCCGCCCCCGGCCCUCCCCCGGUGGCAUGGAGGGGCCCCGCUCCUGACGGCUGCGCCGCCGCCUCGGCCCGCGCCCCACCUCGCGGCCCGUCUCGCCCGCCCCCGCUCGCAUGUCCGCGCCGCCCUAGCCGAGGAUGCUGAGGAUGAAGCUGCCUCUGAAGCCGACGCACCCCGCGGAGCCGCCGCCCGAGGCGGAGGAGCCGGAGGCGGACGCACGGCCGGGCGCGAAGGCGCCGCCGCGCCGCCGCCGUGACUGCCGUCCCCCACCGCCGCCGCCCGCGGGCCAGCCGCGCGGCCCCCUGCCGCCGCCGCCGCCCCGGGGACUCGGGCCGCCUGUUGCUGACGGAGCGGCGGUGGGGGCGGGCAUGCCGGGCGGUGGCGGGGGGCCCUCGGCGGCGCUGCGUGAACAGGAGCGGGUGUACGAGUGGUUCGGGCUGGUGCUGGGCUCGGCGCAGCGCCUGGAGUUCAUGUGCGGGUUGCUGGACCUGUGCAAUCCGCUGGAGCUGCGCUUUCUUGGCUCGUGCUUGGAGGAUCUGGCGCGCAAGGACUACCAUUACCUGCGCGACUCGGAGGCCAAGGCCAACGGCCUCUCGGACCCGGGGCCGCUGGCCGACUUCCGAGAGCCAGCCGUGCGCUCGCGCCUCAUAGUGUACCUGGCACUGCUGGGCUCGGAGAACCGAGAGGCCGCCGGCCGCCUGCACCGCCUCCUGCCCCAGGUGGACUCGGUGCUCAAAAGCCUGCGCGCGGCCCGGGGAGAGGGCUCGCGGGGCGGCCCGGAGGACGAGCGCGGCGAGGACGGCGACGGCGACCAGGAUGCCGAGAAAGACGGCUCUGGCCCGGAAGGCAGCGGAGCCGAGCUCCGCGCCGGUGGCGGACUCGGCUUUAGGGCCCAAGAGGAGCUACUGCUGCUCUUCACCAUGGCUUCCCUGCACCCGGCUUUCUCCUUCCACCAGCGGGUCACCCUGCGGGAGCAUCUGGAGAGGCUCCGCAUCGCGCUUCGCGGGGGCCGAGAGGACGCCGAGGUGGAGGUGGAGCCCUGCAAGUUUGCCGGCUCCAGGGCCCAGAGCGACUCUGCUCAUGGUGAUUAUGUGCAAAGCAACGAGACCAGUUUAAUAGAACAAGCCCCAAUACCUCAGGAUGGACUUACUGUGGCCCCUCAUAGAGCUCAGCGAGAAGCUGUACACAUUGAGAAGAUAAUGUUGAAAGGAGUCCAGAGAAAAAGGGCUGACAAAUAUUGGGAGUACACUUUCAAAGUAAAUUGGUCUGAUCUUUCAGUCACAACAGUAACAAAAACCCACCAAGAACUACAGGAAUUUCUACUGAAGCUUCCGAAGGAAUUGUCUUCAGAGACUUUUGAUAAGACCAUUUUAAGAGCCCUGAAUCAGGGUUCUUUGAAAAGGGAAGAACGGCGACAUUCUGACCUAGAGCCCAUCCUAAGGCAGCUAUUUUCAACUUCAUCACAAGCUUUCCUGCAGAGUCAGAAAGUACAUAGCUUUUUCCAGUCCAUAUCUUCAGAAUCACUGCACAGUCUCAAUAACUUACAGUCCUCUCUGAAGACUUCUAAGAUACUAGAACACUUAAAAGAAGACAGCUCAGAAGCUUCAAGUCAAGAAGAAGACGUGUUGCAGCACACCGUAAUCCACAAGAAACAUACCGGGAAAAGUCCCAUUGUAAACAGCAUUGGUACUAGUUGUUCUCCAUUGGAUGGGCUUACCAUGCAAUUUUCUGAACAGAAUGGAGUUGUGGAUUGGAGGAAGCAGAGCUGUGCCGCCACUCAGCACCCAGAGCACUGUGUGACCUUAGCUGACCAGCAUUCUGCUGAAAAGCGGAGCUUAUCUUCAUUAAGUAAGAAGAAAGGAAAGCCACAAAUAGAAAAGGAGAAAAUUAAGAAAACCGACAACAGAUUGAAUAGUAGAGUAAAUGGUAUUAGACUCGCCACUCCUCAGCACGCCCAUGGUGGUACUGUGAAAGAUGUGAAUUUGGACAUUGGAUCUGGACAUGACACAUGUGGAGAAACAUCUUCAGAGAGUUACAGUUCUCCGUCUAGUCCACGACAUGAUGGAAGAGAAAGUUUUGAAAGUGAAGAAGAAAAAGACAGAGACACAGACAGCAAUUCUGAGGAUUCUGGGAAUCCAUCCACAACUCGGUUCACAGGUUAUGGUUCUGUCAACCAGACUGUCACUGUCAAGCCACCUGUACAGAUUGCUUCACUAGGAAACGAGAACGGAAGCCUUUUAGAAGACCCCUUAAACUCACCCAAGUAUCAGCAUAUUUCCUUUAUGCCAACUUUACACUGUGUCAUGCACAACGGUGCCCAGAAGUCUGAAGUUGUCGUUCCUUCACCCAAAUCUGCUGAUGGUAAAACAAUAGGGAUGCUUGUUCCUAGCCCUGUUGCUAUCUCUGCAAUACGGGAGUCCACAAAUUCAACCCCUGUUGGAAUACUAGGGCCAACAGCUUCUACUGGAGAACUGGAAAAACACCUUGAAUUACUGGCUUCCCCUUUACCUAUUCCGUCAACCUUCCUUCCACAUAGUAGUACUCCUGCUUUGCACCUAACAUUUCAGCGGCUAAAAUUGCCACCACCACAGGGAUCGUCUGAGAGUUGCACGGUUAACAUCCCUCAACAACCAGCCGGAAGUCUGAGCAUCGGAUCACCAAACACUGCCUUUAUUCCUGUCCACAACCCAGGUAGUUUUCCAGGGUCACCUGUGGCUACCACGGACCCCAUCACAAAGUCUGCAUCUCAAGUGGUAGGACUAAAUCAAAUGGUGCCUCAAAUUGAGGGAAACACAGGGACAGUCCCUCAGCCUACCAAUGUGAAGGUAGUUCUUCCAGCAGCUGGCCUCUCAGCCGCACAGCCACCAGCUUCCUACACCUUACCAGGCUCGCCCCUCGCUGCUGGCGUGCUCCCCAGCCAGAACUCCAGCGUGCUCAACUCAGCAGCCCCUUCUCCCCAGCCGGCGAGCACGGGCCUCAGCCAGGCCCAGGCUGCUGUUCCUCCCGCGGUUCCUACCCACACCCCAGGCCCAGCCCCGAGCCCAAGCCCUGCUUUGACACACAGUACUGCACAGAGUGACAGCACGUCUUACAUCAGUGCUGUGGGGAACACGAACGCUGGUGGGACAGUAGUACCACCGCAGCAGAUGGGCGCAGGUCCAUGUGGUUCUUGCGGGCGAAGGUGCAGCUGUGGGACCAAUGGAAACCUUCAGCUAAACAGUUACUAUUAUCCUAAUCCAAUGCCCGGCCCAAUGUACCGAGUCCCGUCGUUCUUUACCUUGCCGUCCAUUUGCAAUGGCAGCUACCUCAACCAAGCACAUCAGAGCAAUGGAAACCAACUUCCUUUUUUUCUGCCUCAGACUCCAUAUGCAAAUGGACUGGUACAUGACCCUGUCAUGGGGAGCCAGGCCAGCUAUGGCAUGCAGCAGAUGGCAGGGUUUGGGAGAUUCUAUCCUGUAUACCCAGCACCUAACGUAGUUGCCAACAACAGUGGUUCGGGGCCCAAGAAGAAUGGGAAUGUCUCGUGUUACAAUUGUGGUGUCAGCGGACACUAUGCACAGGACUGUAAGCAGUCGUCCAUGGAGGCCAAUCAACAAGGCACUUACAGACUGAGAUACGCACCUCCCCUCCCCCCUUCUAACGAUACGUUGGAUUCUGCAGACUGAGACAAGUAAAGCUUGCCUACUUAACACACUCAAGUGUGGGGAGUCAUGGGGUGUGGAGGGGAGGAAAGGAAAGCUCCAACUUGAUCGGCUCUAAGGAGGCCUCAGCCAGCCUUUCACCAGAAGAAAUGGCUGGUUGGAAAGCAGUGCCACCUGGUGGGAGAUAAGGACAGUGCAAGCAAGCAGACGCUAUUUCCUGCUGACCUAAAUUAGAGAAAAUUAAACGUAAGAGAGAAAACAUUUGGGAUUGUAAACCUGUGCCCAAAACCUUAAAGAAUGCUGGCGGCUGGCUAUAAAAGCAAUUUGAGCAGUCUCUUCGUUCAGCCGUUGACAUUUGAGUUUGUGUAUAAACACCUUAAAGGCACAAUGGUUCUUCACCGUUUCCUUUGCACUUCUCUGUUCAUUUGGUCAUCAUGAUUGUGAAAGGGAUGGAACCUUCCCCCUCUGUUUUCUGUAUUAGGAAUUUGGGGUUCGGCAAGAUUAAAUGAGGAAGGCCAGGCCUCGACUUCGGCCUGCACCGUGUCCUGCCUCCCAGAUGUGUCUGUGCUGAACCACGUGCAGUGGCUUUUACAAACUGUAAGGGGAGAGGAACCCACAGACUAACAACCAUGUGGCCCCUGGAUUCCUAAGAGGGCUGGACCUGGUUGUGGGCACACCUGGAACGCAAGCCACGUCCUAGCUUGUCGGGAUGUCUCUUUUCUGUGUCUCUCUUGUAGGAUUUAAAGACGUGGAAUGGGAAAAUUUCCAGAGAUAGGAAACCUCAGGACUUUUAGAACUAAGUAUUAAAUAUUUGCCUAUCUCAGAUAAAUUCAAGCAGUAUCAACGUCUGCUAAUACAGAAGGUUUUAAACUCAUGGGCACACUGAGUUUUGCUUCGCAAAGAUUUUUGUUAUCCUUGUAUCUCAAGUUGAAUAUAAAGUGGAUAUUCCGUUUUUAAGACUUCAGAAAUUAAGGAAUGAACGGAUGAACAGACAGGGCAAGUAACUGCUGGUAUUUUCAAAGCUGUGAUAUUUGCAAGUUGGUUGUCCCCUUCUACUAGCCACGCCCCACAAAACACUCCUAAGGCUAAGAAUCCGGAUGGAAAUAAUAGCAAUCAUCCUCACACCACUGAAUAGGGCUGAGUGCUAAGAAAACCACCAGGCUACCUAGUAAGUCAGUGCUUGCUCUUUGCUAGCACGUUGGAGUUAAGUCCUGUUUGUUACAUGGGAACUCAGUUGUGCCUUGGACACUCUCAUAAAAACCAACCUGCUGGCCAGGCCUUACUAAUCCUGGCUUUGUUCUCAGCACUCACCACACAGAUGACCUUUCUCAGGCUGCUUUGCAGAAGGAAGGUAACACUCACUUUGUAGACCAGUUCGCAGGAUUAAACCUGGCAAAAUACACAAAGCACUCACCGUCUGGCACAUAGUAGGCUUCCAGUAAAUUUGCAGUGGUGGCUAACAACCCUUGAAUGCCUGGAGUAGGCCAGACACAGGCAUUUCCGCCUCACAACAAACUCGUGAGGUCAGUUCUCUGCCCCAUUUUACAGUUAGGGAAUUCAAGGGGCACAGGGUAAGAGUCAGUGUCUAAAGCAGGGGUCCUCAGACUGCGGCCCAUGGGCCACAUGAGGCGGUGGGAUUGUAUUUGUUCUCAUUUUGUUUUUUUACUUCAAAAUAAGGUAUGUGCAGUGUGCAUAGGAAUUUGUUCAUAGUUUUUUUUUUUUUAAACUAUAGUCCGGCUCUCCAAUGGUCUGAGGGACAGUGAAUUGGCCCCUUGUUUAAAAAGUUUGAGGACCCCUGGAAAGACACAGAGCAAGUGAGUGACCAAGUGCCUGGGCAGUGUGGCUUCGGGGCAUGGCUGGACACCUCCUUGUGCCUGUCCUUCAGGUGUGUCAGUGCAAGUACAGACAGCCCUGGGCUGGGGUCAGGAAGGUGGGACUCAGGCUCUGCCUAAAACAUGCUGUCACCUUGAGCAACUAGUCCUUUCUAGACCUUUCUUUUUUGUCGGAAAGCUACGUGAAUGGUCAGUAAAUGGUGGUAAGAGAUUGAACUCAGUGAUCUCAUGUUCCUUUCCGUUCCAAAAUUUUGACUUGAAGCUUGCUUUUUCACUUUCAGUGAUUUACCAAGGUUUACACAUCUUUCUGGUUUACUGUUUUGAAGUCUUUAUUUGGUGUAGGUCAGGAACACAAACCUCAACUGUCACAAUGUGGUUGUGAGAUGGGAGAAUGUUCUCAGGUCCCCAGGGAAAAGCUGGGAGGAAGGACAGAUGUCUGCCGGCCUGUCCCCAGGGGGCAGCACCAGUGCAGGGCUGGCUGCAUUUCUGCCGCCUCCAUCCACGUUUCUAGGCUCCUCUCUUCUCGUGUCUAUAAAGCUGCCAUUUUCAGGGACUUUUUAGCCAAAAGAUAAAGCUACGGGACUAAGUCUCAUGCCAGAUGAUAGGAGGUUAAGCCUAGCUCUGGGAUUGGCCACAUGAACCAAGGGUUGGCAAAUUACGGCCCACAGGCCGAGAAUGCUUUCUCCAUCUUUAAUUGGUUGAAAAAAUAUUUUUAGUGACACAUGAAAAUGAUAUGAAAUUCAUACUUCAGUGUCUACAAAUAAAGUUUAUUGGAACAUGGCUACUGUCCUUCCUUUACGUCUUGUCGGCGGCUGUGAUAGAAAUCAUGUAACCCUCACAGCUCAAAAUAUUUACUGCCCUGUUAGCGUAAAAGCCUGCUGACCCCUGACGUUUACCAACCUUAUCCAAAUAAAGUUGCACUUUGGAUUAUCUUUAAAGUCCUAAUGUUCUCUAAAGAGGAAUUUGCA